RNAcentral lists this long non-coding RNA (201 nucleotides) under Nicotiana benthamiana. RNAcentral describes it as "long non-coding RNA (NBEN_LNC018395)". The record is from RNAcentral. Lineage: Eukaryota; Viridiplantae; Streptophyta; Magnoliopsida; Solanales; Solanaceae.
CAAUUCAUCAAUAUCUCUCAAUCUCUCUCAAGCUCUCUUCCAAUCUUUCUAGUGCAAGUGUUUAAUUUAUUGUUGCAAAUUCGUGAAACAUUGUGAAGUUGUCGAAUUGAAGUUUUCAAGUGUUCAAUUUCAACGAUUUUCAAUUUUCAAGAAGUUGUUCGUCAAUCCGAUAAACUCGUUUCAACUCUUACGUGCUAAGAA